GAUGAACGCUAGCUACAGGCCUAACACAUGCAAGUCGAGGGGCAGCAUGGCGGUCGCUUGCGACCGCCGAUGGCGACCGGCGAAUGGGUGAGUAACGCGUAUCCAACCUGCCCCGCGCCCGGGGAUAGCCCUUGGAAAUGAGGAUUAAGACCCGAUAUGUGGCUCCGCCGCAUGGCGGUGCCAUGAAACAGACGCGGGAUGGGGAUGCGUUGGAUUAGCCAGCCGGCAGGGCAGCGGCCUACCGGGGCGACGAUCCAUAGGGGUUCUGAGAGGAAGGUCCCCCCACACUGGCACUGAGACACGGGCCAGACUCCUACGGGAGGCAGCAGUGAGGAAUAUUGGUCAAUGGGCGAGAGCCUGAACCAGCCAAGUAGCGUGCAGGAUGACGGCCCUACGGGUUGUAAACUGCUUUUGCGGGAGAAUAACCGGUGCCACGCGUGGCGCCCUGCAGGUAUCCCGUGAAAUAAGGGACCCGGCUAAAUUCCGUGCCAGCAG
RNAcentral lists this ribosomal RNA (495 nucleotides) under uncultured bacterium. RNAcentral's name for it is "bacterial SSU rRNA". It matches the Rfam family "Bacterial small subunit ribosomal RNA", at positions 28 to 514 of the family's 1533-position model. The record is from RNAcentral.